CAACUCGACUGCGUGAAGGUGGAGUCGCUAGUAAUCGCGGAUCAGCAACGCCACGGUGAAUGCGUUCCCGGGCCUUGUACACACCGCCCGUCAAGUCAUGAAAGUGGGCAGCACCCGAAGACGGUGGCCUAACCCUUGUGGGGGGAGCCGUCUAAGGUGAGGCUCGUGAUUGGGACUAAGUCGUAACAAGGUAAC
RNAcentral lists this ribosomal RNA (195 nucleotides) under uncultured bacterium. RNAcentral describes it as "partial 16S ribosomal RNA". It matches the Rfam family "Bacterial small subunit ribosomal RNA", at positions 1308 to 1500 of the family's 1533-position model. The record is from RNAcentral.